CGCCAAUCUGCGCACGGCAACUUGGAGGCUCAAACCACCAACGAUCGCAAUGCUGCGUCGCGAGCCAGGCCGGUCUCCGCGGUAACCGGUUUGCCGCUGAGGACUCUGGGAGUUGUAGUUGGGAGGAAGCCGGCUGCGCUCCAGGACGGCCGAGCCGCUGCUCGUUAGCGUUGGCCUCUGCAGGCCACAGGCGGGCUCCGCGGACAGGGCGAGCAGUCCGACUCGCCCUUCAGACGAUUUAAGCUCCUUGCAGAGGAACUGCAUUGGGUCAUUUGGAUUCUCCACAGCACCUCUGAGCACGACACACCCUGGGACGAGGCUGUCUCCACAGCUGUGGACACGGCAGACCAAGCAGAUGCUUCAGGGCAUUUGCCUUUGACGAAGAUGCAGCCUGCCUCUUUCUGGGAUGCUUGUCCCUCAUUCUCUUCAAGGUCACACAAGGAGAAAGGUGACCUUGUUCUUACUGUCACCCCUUUCUCCCCAGCCCCCACCCCCGGCAGGCCAGCCAGAGUAGCCCUGAAGCCCUAGAAG
This 531-nucleotide long non-coding RNA is filed under the name Heterocephalus glaber (naked mole-rat). RNAcentral's name for it is "lncRNA (ENSHGLG00000045556.1)". Lineage: Eukaryota; Metazoa; Chordata; Mammalia; Rodentia; Bathyergidae. The record is from RNAcentral.